This 1493-nucleotide ribosomal RNA is filed under the name uncultured bacterium. RNAcentral describes it as "bacterial SSU rRNA". It matches the Rfam family "Bacterial small subunit ribosomal RNA". The record is from RNAcentral.
GAGAGUUUGAUCCUGGCUCAGGAUGAACGCUAGCUACAGGCUUAACACAUGCAAGUCGAGGGGCAGCAUGGUCUUAGCUUGCUAAGGCCGAUGGCGACCGGCGCACGGGUGAGUAACGCGUAUCCAACCUGCCUUACACUCUUGGACAGCCUUCUGAAAGGGAGAUUAAUACAAGAUGUUAUCAUGAGUAAGCAUUUUCGCAUGAUUAAAGGUUUACCGGUGUAAGAUGGGGAUGCGUUCCAUUAGAUAGUAGGCGGGGUAACGGCCCACCUAGUCUUCGAUGGAUAGGGGUUCUGAGAGGAAGGUCCCCCACAUUGGAACUGAGACACGGUCCAAACUCCUACGGGAGGCAGCAGUGAGGAAUAUUGGUCAAUGGACGAGAGUCUGAACCAGCCAAGUAGCGUGAAGGAUGAAGGUUCUAUGGAUUGUAAACUUCUUUUAUACGGGAAUAAACGAAUCCACGCGUGGAUUUUUGCAUGUACCGUAUGAAUAAGGAUCGGCUAACUCCGUGCCAGUAGCCGCGGUAAUACGGAGGAUCCGAGCGUUAUCCGGAUUUAUUGGGUUUAAAGGGAGCGUAGAUGGGUUGUUAAGUCAGUUGUGAAAGUUUGCGGCUCAACCGUAAAAUUGCAAUUGAUACUGGCAGUCUUGAGUACAGUUGAGGUAGGCGGAAUUCGUGGUGUAGCGGUGAAAUGCUUAGAUAUCACGAAGAACUCCGAUUGCGAAGGCAGCUUACUAACCUGUAACUGACAUUGAUGCUCGAAAGUGUGGGUAUCAAACAGGAUUAGAUACCCUGGUAGUCCACACGGUAAACGAUGAAUACUCGCUGUAGGCGAUAUACAGUCUGCGGCCAAGCGAAAGCAUUAAGUAUUCCACCUGGGGAGUACGCCGGCAACGGUGAAACUCAAAGGAAUUGACGGGGGCCCGCACAAGCGGAGGAACAUGUGGUUUAAUUCGAUGAUACGCGAGGAACCUUACCCGGGCUUAAAUUGCAACCGAAUAUGGCGGAAACGCUAUAGCUAGCAAUAGCGGUUGUGAAGGUGCUGCAUGGUUGUCGUCAGCUCGUGCCGUGAGGUGUCGGCUUAAGUGCCAUAACGAGCGCAACCCUUGCCGAUAGUUACUAACAGGUUAUGCUGAGGACUCUGUCGGGACUGCCAUCGUAAGAUGUGAGGAAGGUGGGGAUGACGUCAAAUCAGCACGGCCCUUACGUCCGGGGCUACACACGUGUUACAAUGGGGGGUACAGAGGGCUGCUACCACGCAAGUGGAUGCCAAUCCCAAAAACCUCUCUCAGUUCGGAUUGAAGUCUGCAACCCGACUUCAUGAAGCUGGAUUCGCUAGUAAUCGCGCAUCAGCCACGGCGCGGUGAAUACGUUCCCGGGCCUUGUACACACCGCCCGUCAAGCCAUGGGAGCCGGGGGUACCUGAAGUGCGUAACCGCAAGGAGCGCCCUAGGGUAAAACUGGUGACUGGGGCUAAGUCGUAACAAGGUAGCCG